GACGAACGCUGGCGGCGUGCUUAACACAUGCAAGUCGAACGGAAAGGCCCUGCUUUUGUGGGGUGCUCGAGUGGCGAACGGGUGAGUAACACGUGAGUAACCUGCCCUUGACUUUGGGAUAACUUCAGGAAACUGGGGCUAAUACCGGAUAGGAGCUCCUGCUGCAUGGUGGGGGUUGGAAAGUUUCGGCGGUUGGGGAUGGACUCGCGGCUUAUCAGCUUGUUUGUGGGGUAGUGGCUUACCAAGGCUUUGACGGGUAGCCGGCCUGGGCGGGUGACCGGCCAGAUUGGGACUGAGAUACGGCCCAGACUCCUACGGGGGGCAGAAGUGGGGAAUAUUGAACAAUGGGCGGAAGCCUGACGCAGCAACGCCGCGUGCGGGAUAACGGCCUUCGGGUUGUAAACCGCUUUCGCCUGUGACGAAGCGUGAGUGACGGUAAUGGGUAAAGAAGCACCGGCUGACUACGUG
Molecule: ribosomal RNA, 468 nt
Filed under: uncultured bacterium
Lineage: Bacteria
Description: partial 16S ribosomal RNA
Rfam family: Bacterial small subunit ribosomal RNA
Source: RNAcentral